AGAGUUUGAUCCUGGCUCAGGAUGAACUCUGGCGGCGUGCUUAACACAUGCAAGUCGAACGAGAAUCAGUGGAACAAGGAUUCGUCUGAGGGAAGCUGAGGAAAGUGGCGGACGGGUGAGUAACGCGUGAGCAAUCUGCCUUGGAGUGGGGAAUAACGGCUGGAAACAGCCGCUAAUACCGCAUGAUGCAUCUGAAUCGCAUGGUUUGGAUGCCAAAGAUUUAUCGCUCUGAGAUGAGCUCGCGUCUGAUUAGCUAGUUGGCGGGGUAAUGGCCCACCAAGGCGACGAUCAGUAGCCGGACUGAGAGGUUGGCCGGCCACAUUGGGACUGAGACACGGCCCAGACUCCUACGGGAGGCAGCAGUGGGGAAUAUUGGGCAAUGGGCGCAAGCCUGACCCAGCAACGCCGCGUGAAGGAAGAAGGCUUUCGGGUUGUAAACUUCUUUUAUUCGGGACGAAGAAAGUGACGGUACCGAAUGAAUAAGUCACGGCUAACUACGUGCCAUCAGCCGCGGUAAUACGUAGGCGGCAAGCGUUAUCCGGAAUGAUUGGGCGUAAAGGGUGCGCAGGCGGUCCUGCAAGUCUGGAGUGAAACGCAUGAGCUCAACUCAUGCAUGGCUUUGGAAACUGGAGGACUGGAGAGCAGGAGAGGUCGGUGGAACUCCAUGUGUAGCGGUAAAAUGCGUAGAUAUAUGGAAGAACACCAGUGGCGAAGGCGGCCGCCUGGCCUGUUGCUGACGCUGAGGCACGAAAGCGUGGGGAGCAAAUAGGAUUAGAUACCCUAGUAGUCCACGCCGUAAACGAUGAGGACCAAGUGUUGGGGGUGAAACCUCAGUGCUGAAGUUAACGCAGUGAGUCCUCCGCCUGGGGAGUAUGCACGCAAGUGUGAAACUCAAAGGAAUUGACGGGGGCCCGCACAAGCGGUGGAGUAUGUGGUUUAAUUCGAAGCAACGCGAAGAACCUUACCAGGCCUUGACAUGGGAUGCGAAGAUGCAGAGAUGCAUCGGAGGUCAACAUCCACACAGGUGGUGCAUGGUUGUCGUCAGCUCGUGUCGUGAGAUGUUGGGUCAAGUCCCGCAACGAGCGCAACCCUUGUGGCAUGUUGCUAACAGGAAAAGCUGAGGACUCAUGCCAGACUGCCGGUGACAAACCGGAGGAAGGCGGGGAUGACGUCAAAUCAUCAUGCCCCUUAUGGCCUGGGCUACACACGUACUACAAUGGCGGCUACAAAGAGCAGCGAGACAGGGAUGUCGAGCGAAUCUCAUAAAAGCCGUCCCAGUUCGGAUUGGAGGCUGCAACCCGCCUCCAUGAAGUUGGAAUCGCUAGUAAUCGCGGAUCAGCAUGCCGCGGUGAAUACGUUCCCGGGCCUUGUACACACCGCCCGUCA
This 1386-nucleotide ribosomal RNA is filed under the name uncultured bacterium. RNAcentral describes it as "bacterial SSU rRNA". It matches the Rfam family "Bacterial small subunit ribosomal RNA". The record is from RNAcentral.